Molecule: long non-coding RNA, 2688 nt
Filed under: Lotus japonicus
Lineage: Eukaryota; Viridiplantae; Streptophyta; Magnoliopsida; Fabales; Fabaceae
Description: long non-coding RNA (LJAP_LNC000645)
Source: RNAcentral
UUUUCUUCUGUUGGAAAGUGUCCCUCCCAACCAAGGUGGUCAACAAUGGCGGCCAAAUCAGUGAAGCAUUCACACAACAAUGUCAAGAAGGAUGCCACCGUCCAACCCCAAAAGUCAAGCAUUCACACCUCCAUUCAAGGAAGACAACCAGUUGAUUGUGUUCCUUGCUUGUCCUAUAAAUAGAUGAGUUGAGGGAGGGUGAAAGUGUGCAACUUCAGUGCACUGAAGUGUACCAGCUAGAGAGCAUCAGAGGGUGCCUCUGGGCACCAGAGUGUGGUGAGGUUGUGAGAGCAAUUGUAUGAGAGCUCUGAGUGUGUGUGUGUGUGUGAGGCCAGAGAUAGAGAGUUGAGAGUGAUGUAAUUUGUUGUUAAAUGAUAAACAGAGUUUCUCCUUUGUGAACGUAGGCAUUCAAGCCGAACCACGUUAAAUCUUUGCCUCCUUUAUGUUCCUCGUCUCGCACCGGUCCCAACAACUGGUAUCAGAGCAAAGUUGGUGAUCGGAAGUGGCCAGAAUCGUGAAUCCCGAAAAUGACCCAUUUUCAGAAAUGCUCAGAAUCAGAUUCUGAGGGCCUUGUUGGAUUCAGAAGGUCGAGACGAGUCCGGAACAGGUCCCGGAAUCUCAAACGGGGUCCGGACGAAGCCACACUCUCCCCCACACUCCGGCAAGUGGCCAGAGAGUGAGCCCACUCUCAGCCACUCUCCACACUCGCGGCUGGAGGAAGAAGGCGAGUGAAGACCACUCUCAGAAGUGCUUUUCACGCACCAGAUGAUGCCAGCAUGACGUCAUCUUUCCGCGUGUACCAGUGAAAGCCUAACACGUGGCAGAACGUGUUUAUGAGAUAUUUUGGGCUUUUUUUGUCCGUUUUGAGCCCAUGAGGAAUUGAUCUUGAGGUUUUCGACCGUCCCGGAUGCAACGGUGUUGUCCGUUUGCUGUAAUUUCGCUCCGAUUUUUGUGAAUGAUCAGGUCAAAGCUUAUUAUAUCCAUUUUGAGUCAGACAGGAUAUGUCCUAAGGGUUCAGGAUCAUUCUGGACUCAAUGGCGGUUCUCAUUUGUUGUCAUUUCGCUCUGUACAAUGAGAAAAUGAAAUUGGAGGUGUAGAUCGAGGCUGAAUCAUUUGAGGAUUCAGAAUCCGGAGCGUUUGACAAGGUGACGACAACAUAUAGGCUUGUUUUGAAAGAUCUGCGAUGAAGAUCAGGUGGAUCUGAUCGGUGAAAGAGGCAGGAGGCCAGGAGAGAAAAUGAGACAGAGUGGUGGAAGUUUGUUAAACUCCCACUCGGUGCCGACACGACAAAAGGCGGUACGUGGACCCCAUGUGACGAGAUGCGGUGAGGAGAUGAGCCAUCGCAGAAUCUGUGGCACGAGAGACUCAUAGUCACGUGGGGAGAAGGGUUGUUAAAAUUAUUCAAUCCUUGUAAUUUUUAUUUCUUGAGUCUCAGCCCAUCUGUAAAAUCAGAGGUGUCAAAAACCUGGUACACUCUGAUUGUUGUAGGCCUUAGAGGGAUGCGAUAACAAUGACAAUGCUUCAGGUAUGUGAGAGUGUAAUGUUUGAAGAGGUGGAAUUCCUCCGCUCCACAACACAGUGGUGUAGCCAAGGGAACGUACAGACCAUUGUGAGCUAAUUCCAGAAGUGUGCUAGGCAUCAGCAAUGAUGCUUAGAUCAUUAUAAGGUGAAGCAUGUUACCAGAACAAUAUCCGAAAUGUGAAGUCUUGGGAUGGUGUGCUCAGGCCACAAGAGGUGCAAAGGUUUGCACAUGUAUAGUCCGUUGUGACUCACCUCUCUUUCGUGGGAACUUACUUGGUGAACUGCAUACAAGCUGAAGAGAGCCGAUGGUUAGUGCGACCAUGAUGUAACAGCUCCUUGUGUCGAAAGACUUCUUGGCAAUGUGAUAGCCAAGCGGUGUGACCCGUUGAGGUGCAACGGCGGUACAAGUACAAGUGUGGGUAAGUCUCCUACUACAAUGUAUGGAGUAGUCCCUUAUUGUUCAGCAUUAAAAAGCAGUAGCAUGGAUUCUCAUGUACUAGGAGGGUACACCAAAGACGUGCUUUGGAGAGAUGAUCUUGUCUUGGAAGAUUGUGCAGACUUAGAUAUAGAUAGAGAACCUGAUGGUAGAAAGUCUAAAUCAGGGGGAGCUUUGUCAUGUAGUCAAGAUUGCAAGCUUACCAUUAACUGAAGCUAAGCAUCGGCUGGUGCAGAAGCUGGAAAAGAGAUGUUGUGGUUGAAGCAGGUUUUCUUCAAGAGCUAAGGUUCAUUAGAGAAGGAGAAUCCAGAUGAAGAGGUGAAGAUAGUCCCUCGUGAAGAAACUCAGAGCUGUGCAGAGGCAUAGCCAGUAUGUCACUCUCUUGGUUGGUAUGGAGGGGGAGAUUGUUGGAAAAUGUCCCUCCCAACCAAGGUGGUCAACAUUGGUGGCCAAAUCAGUGAAGCAUUCACACAACAAUGUCAAGAAGGAUGCCACCGUCCAACCCCAAAAGUCAAGCAUUCACACCUCCAUUCAAGGAAGACAACCAGCUGAUUGUGUUCCUUGCUUCUCCUAUAAAUAGAUGAGUUGAGGGAGGGUGAAAGUGUGCAAGUUCAGUGCAUCGAAGUGUGCCAGCUAGAGAGCAUCAGAGGGUGCCUCUGGGCACCAAAGUGUGGUGAGGUUGUGAGAGCAAUUGUAUGAGAGCUCUAAGUGUGUGUGUGUGUGUGUGAGGC